AUGAAGACUCCAUACGAAAGAGUGACAGUGAAGGCAAAGGUGAUUCAACUGCAAAGCCAUGGACACAAUGUUGUUCACGACAGCACAUUUCUCCAGAACACAUACUACACAAUUGCAGAUGAAAAAGCAGCAAUCGAUUUGACCGUAUGGGGUGACAGCAAAGUUACAACUGACUGCUGGUACGAGAUCUCAAAUGUUUCCAUACGCACCUUCAAAGAUAAACUGCUUUUAACUACAACCAAAGACACAAACUUCACUAUACUGAGCUGCCGAAAUCCCAUUCAUCCUGUGGAGAACACCACCACCCAAACUGUCACAGCAGACAUAAUUGGAGCAACAGUACACCUAAUUCAUAUCUGUCCACUGCAACACAAGAUCGCCAACAUGCCCUUGUCCGCUUCAAGAGUGAAUUGGCAAAAAUGUGAGAUGUUCUACAAGUCCUCUUCAGUCACCACAUACACGUAUGGAACUAUCACCGUCAAAACCACCAAAGGGGUUCAGACCCUGAACAUCGAGAACCAUAGCAUCGAGUCCAUUGUAAACAUCACACACAACUCCACUACAGACCACAUUAUAGACGCUAUACUUGCACUGCCCCCUGUCAACAUAUCCAUAUACAAAAACAACAUAACAAACAUAUCACUCCAACAAGACACCCAUUCCAUACAGACACCGAAAAUCACAAUCACACGACCUAUGGACUCGUCUCAAAGCCUCUAUGCAACCGAUCUAGAGAACCGAAUGGCUGACGACUUCCUCACUUCCACCCCAUCUACAUCAACAGCAACCACUUCAGCUUCAUCAGCCAUCAUACCACCCACAGAAUUACCAACAGUAUUAAGAACUAAAACCAGAACCAGUUCCAACCAGGAAAAAUCACCCCAAUGAAGGAGAUUAGCCCACUUAACUACUCAAACGUCUGCUGUGAGCUUCUGGGAGGUGGUGUGCUUCGCUCCUGCUAUUUUUUCUUUUUAUUAGUAACUUUUCUGUUGCAUUUACUAUGACAUCGGUCAAAUCUACUUUAAUUUCUCAAUUGUUGUGUAACAAUAAAUGUAAUAGCAAACACCACUAAUCAUUUAGAAUAAAAAUAACUGACCAUAUUCAUAGUUGUUUUGUAAAACAGUUAUAUCACCAAAGAAGAAGAAAAUAAAACUGAUAAAAAUAAGUAAAUAAAUAUAAGUGGAUGAUUACAGAGUAUAUUAUUUUGAACUUCCAAAAGUCCAAGAUAGGUCCCCAUUUGGCUUCAAAUCUUUUUUGUGAGCCAAGCUUACCAAAAUGUAAUUGUUCCAUUUGGAUAAUAUAAAGCAUCUCGUUUAACCGUCUUUAAAAACAAGGAGCUUGUGAAGUUUUCCAAUUGAGGAGUAUUACCUUCUUGGCUGUGAUUAAGCCUACCAUUAGAGCGUGCUGAUGAGUAUGCGGGAUAGUAUCAUAACAUCAGAAUAGCUGAAAAUAGCCAGACUGUGGUCAGGUUGAAUGUUAAUUCUGUAUGCGCUUGAAAACAAUUCAAAAAUGUUAGACCAAAAAUCAUACAGAAUAGGGCAAAACCAAAAUAAAUGUGCCAAUGUCCCUUCCUCCAUCUUGGACCUAUCACACUGAGGAUAAAUGCAGGGAAAUAUUUUGUUCAAUCUAGUUUUGGAGUAAUGAAUGCGAUGCAUAACUUUGAACUGGAUUAAUUUAUAUCUCGAAUUUACAGAACAGCUCUUGUUUCUCGACAGGCCUUCUUCCCAGAUCUCAUCAGACACGUUGUCUUUCACGUCAGUAGACCUGGCUAUUUUAAGGUGUUUGUAAAAGCAUGAACAAAACGAGAUACCAAAUGUCUAGCUUCAGGAUUAGAAGAUAAAAGUUCAUGAAUAAUAUGGUUUUCAGGUUUAUUUAUAAAAUGUGGAAUAUUUUUCUUAACAUAAUUUCUAAUUUCCAAAUAACAGGAGAAGUGAGACUGUGGGAGUACAAAUGUAUUUUUAAGUUGCAAAAAGGACGCAAAUUGAUCUUCUAUAUAGAGAUCUCCUAUACAGCAUAAACCUUUUUUUCUCCAUCCUGAAAAAGCUCCAUCAAUCAGAGAAUGCUCAAACGAAGGAUUGCAUGAUAUUGGUGUAUUGAUUGAGACUUUUGGUAGUUUAUAACAAUUUUUGAUCUGAUUCAAAAUCUUCAAAGAAUUUCUCAACACAAAAUUAAUGCUGCCUAAUUUACAGAUAGAUUUACACUCUGUAAAAAGAGAAGACUCUGAGAGAAGACUCUGGUGCUGACAAAGCCUCUGCACGAACCCAUAGAGGAGAAGUCUCAG
Long non-coding RNA from Cyprinus carpio carpio, 2281 nucleotides. NCBI's taxonomy places the organism in Eukaryota, Metazoa, Chordata, Actinopteri, Cypriniformes, Cyprinidae. The record is from Ensembl.